AAGCCCACAGGCCUGGGUGUUGUUGUUUAGUAACCAAGCCAUCAUUUAGGUUGUGUUGUUUAGUAACCAAACCUGAAGGCAGCAGCAAAGAAGAGGAUGAAGAAGUACUUCCCCCUCUGUUUUCCCGAGUUCAGGGAGUGGAGAAGAGAAUCAAAGACCGGAAAAGAGGACGAUCCGUGUGCUGUACAAAGUGUGGAGGAGUAGGACAUAACAAGUCUACUUGCAAAGAGGAUUGAUCAUCGACGGCCUGCUUCUGCUCACUACAUUUGUACAGAGCCACAUUUUCUGUAAUCUUACUGAAUCAUCUGCAGUGAUGCUUUACAAUGUAAUUUGGUGUGCCUCAUCCAUAAACUGUGAUAAUACAUGAUCGUGUAUAUAACUCUUGACGCGUAAUCUUCAAAUAACUAAUUCUGAUA
This is a long non-coding RNA of Camelina sativa (false flax), 416 nucleotides long. RefSeq lists it as uncharacterized. The record is from RefSeq and is a predicted model, not a curated record. Lineage: Eukaryota; Viridiplantae; Streptophyta; Magnoliopsida; Brassicales; Brassicaceae.